Small nuclear RNA from Symphalangus syndactylus (siamang), 106 nucleotides. NCBI's taxonomy places the organism in Eukaryota, Metazoa, Chordata, Mammalia, Primates, Hylobatidae. The record is from RefSeq and is a predicted model, not a curated record.
GUUUGCUUCAGCAGUACAUAUGCUAAAAUUGGAACGAUACAGAGAAGAUUAGCAUUGGCCCCUGUGCGAGGAUGACAUGCAAAUUAGUGAAGUGUUCCAUAUUUUA